Non-coding RNA from Acanthosepion pharaonis, 114 nucleotides. Lineage: Eukaryota; Metazoa; Mollusca; Cephalopoda; Sepiida; Sepiidae. The record is from the annotation of a GenBank genome assembly.
UGACGGCCAUAUCACCUUGAAACAACGGUUCUUGUACGAUCACUGAAGAUAAGCAACGUCAAACCUGGUCAAUACCUACCUGGGUGACCGCUUGGGAAUAACAGGUGCUGUAGG